GAUUUCUGGUUUGGCGCACUUGGCCCGCUGCGGUUACGUAGUUGUGUGCCGGUGUGCGCCUACCAUCCCUCUAGAGAACUAUUACGCCCUUCACUGGGUUGUGGUAGGUAUCUAGAUCUUUUACUUUGAAAAAAUUAGAGUGUUUAAAGCAGGCUUGUGCUAUGAAUACAUUAGCAUGGAAUAAUAAUUUAGGACUUUAGUCUUAUUUUGUUGGUUUCUAGGACUGAAGUAAUGAUUGAUAGGGAUAGUUGGGGGUGCUAGUAUUCAGCGGCCAGAGGUGAAAUUCUUGGAUUCGCUGAAGACUAACUUAUGCGAAAGCAUU
This 322-nucleotide ribosomal RNA is filed under the name uncultured Cercomonas. RNAcentral's name for it is "SSU rRNA". The stretch from base 59 to 322 matches the Rfam family "Eukaryotic small subunit ribosomal RNA", at positions 690 to 955 of the family's 1831-position model. The record is from RNAcentral. Lineage: Eukaryota; Cercozoa; Cercomonadida; Cercomonadidae.